Molecule: ribosomal RNA, 846 nt
Filed under: uncultured Microbacterium sp.
Lineage: Bacteria; Bacillati; Actinomycetota; Actinomycetes; Micrococcales; Microbacteriaceae
Description: bacterial SSU rRNA
Rfam family: Bacterial small subunit ribosomal RNA
Source: RNAcentral
ACGUUCGGAAAUAUUGGGCGUAAGAGCUCGUAGGCGGUUUGUCGCGUCUGCUGUGAAAUCCGGAGGCUCAACCUCCGGCCUGCAGUGGGUACGGGCAGACUAGAGUGCGGUAGGGGAGAUUGGAAUUCCUGGUGUAGCGGUGGAAUGCGCAGAUAUCAGGAGGAACACCGAUGGCGAAGGCAGAUCUCUGGGCCGUAACUGACGCUGAGGAGCGAAAGGGUGGGGAGCAAACAGGCUUAGAUACCCUGGUAGUCCACCCCGUAAACGUUGGGAACUAGUUGUGGGGUCCAUUCCACGGAUUCCGUGACGCAGCUAACGCAUUAAGUUCCCCGCCUGGGGAGUACGGCCGCAAGGCUAAAACUCAAAGGAAUUGACGGGGACCCGCACAAGCGGCGGAGCAUGCGGAUUAAUUCGAUGCAACGCGAAGAACCUUACCAAGGCUUGACAUAUACGAGAACGGGCCAGAAAUGGUCAACUCUUUGGACACUCGUAAACAGGUGGUGCAUGGUUGUCGUCAGCUCGUGUCGUGAGAUGUUGGGUUAAGUCCCGCAACGAGCGCAACCCUCGUUCUAUGUUGCCAGCACGUAAUGGUGGGAACUCAUGGGAUACUGCCGGGGUCAACUCGGAGGAAGGUGGGGAUGACGUCAAAUCAUCAUGCCCCUUAUGUCUUGGGCUUCACGCAUGCUACAAUGGCCGGUACAAAGGGCUGCAAUACCGCGAGGUGGAGCGAAUCCCAAAAAGCCGGUCCCAGUUCGGAUUGAGGUCUGCAACUCGACCUCAUGAAGUCGGAGUCGCUAGUAAUCGCAGAUCAGCAACGCUGCGGUGAAUACGUUCCCGGGUCUUGAC